RNAcentral lists this ribosomal RNA (228 nucleotides) under uncultured bacterium. RNAcentral describes it as "partial 16S ribosomal RNA". It matches the Rfam family "Bacterial small subunit ribosomal RNA", at positions 568 to 796 of the family's 1533-position model. The record is from RNAcentral.
UCCGUAGGUGGAUAAUUAAGUCAGAGGUGAAAUCCUGCAGCUCAACUGUAGAAUUGCCUUUGAUACUGGUUAUCUUGAGUCAUUAUGAAGUGGUUAGAAUGUGUAGUGUAGCGGUGAAAUGCAUAGAUAUUACACAGAAUACCGAUUGCGAAGGCAGAUCACUAAUAAUGUACUGACACUGAGGGACGAAAACGUGGGAGCAAACAGGAUUAGAUACCCUGGUAGUCC